GGUGAACGUUGGCGGCGUGCCUAAGGCAUGCAAGUCGUACGACGCCGGCCCUGCGGGGCCCGGCGAAGUGGCGAACGGCUGCGUAACACGUAGGCAACCUAUCCCUGGGAGGCGGAUAGCGCGCCGAAAGGCGCGGUAAUCCGCCGUACGCUCGACGGGCGAUGGCUCGUCGAGGAAAGCCCUCCAGACGGAGGGCGCCCGGGGAGGGGCCUGCGGCCUAUCAGGUAGUUGGCGGGGUAAAAGCCCACCAAGCCGAUGACGGGUAGCUGGUCUGAGAGGACGGCCGGCCAGACGGGGACUGCGACACGGCCCCGACUCCUACGGGAGGCAGCAUG
RNAcentral lists this ribosomal RNA (335 nucleotides) under uncultured bacterium. RNAcentral's name for it is "bacterial SSU rRNA". It matches the Rfam family "Bacterial small subunit ribosomal RNA", at positions 28 to 354 of the family's 1533-position model. The record is from RNAcentral.